GACUUGUGAAUGAACAAAGUGUGGAGCUGGAUGAACACAGCAGGCUAAGCAGCAUCUUAGGAGCGCAAAAGCUGACAUUUUGGGCCUACACCCUUCUCAUUGCCACCUUGCUGUGUUGGAGAGGCUGGAGUGUCCCAUUGAUCACGAGAUCUAAGCCAACGGAAGUUCUCAACUCCUGGCAAGGCCACCCAUGGGAAUAAGAUGCUGCCAGACCUGUUGAAUUUCUCUGGCAAUUUUGUUACAGAUUUCCAGCAUCCACAGUUGUUGGUUUUAUCUUAGUCACAAACUGGACAAGCUUCGGAUCCAGCAGUGAAGUACAGCCUUGUCCCUGUUCUGAACUACCAGUGGAUCAACAGGAACAGCUGUUGCUUCAGUAGCAGCAUUGUAGACCUGGUGUGGUUUCGCCUGGAAUGGACUGUGCGGGGGAAAGCAUGGCGAAACGGAGGAGAUUGAGCCCUUGUAGGAAGUGUCGUCCCAGCAUGGCUGAGCAUCUUCGAAAGACUGUAAUGUUUGACUUUUAGAUUUAUUCUUCACUUUUUUUUACUUGAUGCUCGGAAUUAGCGUAAUAGUUAACUUUCAGCCUUGUUCUUAAGAUACUGUAUCUAGGUACCUGUAUCUAAGGUGGUGACAUUAUACUGUUUUCACUGCACUCCUGUACUUUUGAACGUGAGUGCACGUGACAACAAAAUCUAAAGCUAAAAAAAUCAGUACAGUGUUUGUAUGAUUAAUUCUAUUCUCAUUACGCAGUGAUAAAACAAAUUUUAAAAAUCAGUAAUACUUGGAAAUUAAUGUACUGGUCAUACUGGAGCACUACUUAGAGACAUACCGGACAAAUCGGACCAGCAUAUCUCAUUUCGCAAGUUGUACUGUUUUGUUCUCCCUUCUGGGUAGUGAUGGUUUCGUUUCUCUUAGGUGGCCUUGGCAGUUGAAACAGUUGUUCUAACAACUCUGCAGAGGCUGAAAGACCCCUCCUCUGCUUCCUGCUUCUUAUAGUACAGCUGCUUCUGCCACCAAGAUGACGAAUGUCCUUCUGCGAUCUGAACAAAUAUUGAUUUUAAUAACAGGUGGUGCUUGAAUCUCGUUCAAGAGUUCCCAGUACCUCUGGAAUGCGGGAACGCACAUAGAAACUUGACAGAAUUCAAGCUGCUCCACCCUAUAAUUAGAAAUGUAAUUAAUAGCUCAACAACUGCAGUGGUAGCCAGUUAUACCAACCAUUCAUCUAAACUACAAAAUACAAUUAAGCACAUUCAUCUGAAAUUGAUUUUAUCACUACAAAAUUUUUUUUACUUUUAGUCCCAGUUACAUACACAUUUAAUAAACUCCAGGUUU
This is a long non-coding RNA of Stegostoma tigrinum, 1329 nucleotides long. RefSeq lists it as uncharacterized. The record is from RefSeq and is a predicted model, not a curated record. NCBI's taxonomy places the organism in Eukaryota, Metazoa, Chordata, Chondrichthyes, Orectolobiformes, Stegostomatidae. The transcript is spliced from 3 exons.